This 530-nucleotide ribosomal RNA is filed under the name uncultured delta proteobacterium. RNAcentral's name for it is "bacterial SSU rRNA". It matches the Rfam family "Bacterial small subunit ribosomal RNA", at positions 17 to 523 of the family's 1533-position model. Lineage: Bacteria; Deltaproteobacteria. The record is from RNAcentral.
UCCUGGCUCAGAAUUAACGCUGGCGGCAUGCCUAACACAUGCAAGUCGCACGAGAAAGCCCGGUUCGCCGGGCGAGUAAAGUGGCGCACGGGUGAGUAACGCGUGGAUAAUCUACCUUCUUCUGGGGGAUAACGCACCGAAAGGUGCGCUAAUACCGCAUAUUCCGGUUGGUUUUAGGACCGAUCGGUAAAGGUGGCCUCUUGAUCAAAGCUACCGGGAGAAGAUGAGUCCGCGUCCCAUUAGCUAGUUGGUGGGGUAAAGGCCUACCAAGGCGACGAUGGGUAGCUGGUCUGAGAGGACGAUCAGCCACACUGGAACUGGAACACGGUCCAGACUCCUACGGGAGGCAGCAGUGAGGAAUAUUGCGCAAUGGGGGAAACCCUGACGCAGCGAUGCCGCGUGAGUGAAGAAGGCCUUCGGGUCGUAAAGCUCUGUCAAGCGGGAAGAACAGCGGCGGGACGAAUAAUCCCGUCGUGUGACGGUACCGCUGAAGGAAGCACCGGCUAACUCCGUGCCAGCAGCCGCGGUAA